AACGAACGCUGGCGGCAUGCCUAACACAUGCAAGUCGAACGAGACCUUCGGGUCUAGUGGCGCACGGGUGCGUAACACGUGGGAAUCUGCCCUUUGCUUCGGAAUAACAGUUAGAAAUGACUGCUAAUACCGGAUGAUGUCGAAAGACCAAAGAUUUAUCGGCAAAGGAUGAGCCCGCGUAGGAUUAGGUAGUUGGUGGGGUAAAGGCCUACCAAGCCGACGAUCCUUAGCUGGUCUGAGAGGAUGAUCAGCCACACUGGGACUGAGACACGGCCCAGACCCCUACGGGAGGCAGCAGUGGGGAAUAUUGGACAAUGGGCGAAAGCCUGAUCCAGCAAUGCCGCGUGAGUGAUGAAGGCCUUAGGGUUGUAAAGCUCUUUUACCAGGGAUGAUAAUGACAGUACCUGGAGAAUAAGCUCCGGCUAACUCCGUG
Molecule: ribosomal RNA, 433 nt
Filed under: uncultured bacterium
Lineage: Bacteria
Description: partial 16S ribosomal RNA
Rfam family: Bacterial small subunit ribosomal RNA
Source: RNAcentral